This 460-nucleotide ribosomal RNA is filed under the name uncultured bacterium. RNAcentral's name for it is "partial 16S ribosomal RNA". It matches the Rfam family "Bacterial small subunit ribosomal RNA", at positions 338 to 795 of the family's 1533-position model. The record is from RNAcentral.
CCUACGGGUGGCAGCAGUGAGGAAUAUUGGUCAAUGGGCGCGAGCCUGAACCAGCCAAGUAGCGUGAAGGAUGACUGCCCUACGGGUUGUAAACUUCUUUUAUAAAGGAAUAAAGUGAGGCAAGUGUGCCUUUUUGUAUGGACUUUAUGAAUAAGGAGCGGCUAACUCCGUGCCAGCAGCCGCGGUAAUACGGAGGAGCCGAGCGUUAUCCGGAUUUAUUGGGUUUAAAGGGAGCGUAGAUGGGUUGUUAAGUCAGUUGUGAAAGGUUGCGGCUCAACCGUUAAAUUGCAAAUGAUACUGGCAGUCUUGAGUACAGUUGAGGUAGGCGGAAUUCGUGGUGUAGCAGUGAAAUGCUUAGAUAUCACGAAGAACUCCGAUUGCGAAGGCAGCUUACUAAACUGCAACUGACAUUGAUGCUCGAAAGUGUGGGUAUCAAACAGGAUUAGAUACCCCUGUAGUC